UUGCUCACUUCGGCAUCACAUAUACUAAAAUUGGAACGAUACAGAGAUUAGCAUGGCCCCUGUGCAAGGAUGACACGCAAAUUCGUUGAAGUGUUCCAAUUUUUA
Molecule: small nuclear RNA, 105 nt
Organism: Callithrix jacchus (white-tufted-ear marmoset)
Lineage: Eukaryota; Metazoa; Chordata; Mammalia; Primates; Cebidae
Source: Ensembl